This 1012-nucleotide long non-coding RNA is filed under the name Lathyrus oleraceus (garden pea). Its description in RNAcentral is "Pisum sativum (pea) long non-coding RNA (PSAT_LNC016736)". Lineage: Eukaryota; Viridiplantae; Streptophyta; Magnoliopsida; Fabales; Fabaceae. The record is from RNAcentral.
UUCGACACGGUGGCAAAAAUCAGGUAUCAAUCUUCUUCAUCUCUGACUUCUUCACUUUUUGUUGCGUUGUCGUUUGCUCUCUGCACGAAUUGCGAGGUUCUGAGUGUGAGAGUUGCGAGUUGCUUGAUUGAUUGAAUCAUGAUGUUUGUGUUCUAUGUGAUUUGUUCGUUUGUGUGCUUUGAACGCGUGAAGAAUGCUAAGAUUCGAUUUGUGUAUGAAUGAGAGAAGAAGAAUUUGGAUAUGUGAAGAAAGAUUUUUGUGCCUCUUUGAUGAAUGAUUGAAGCCUUUGUUUUGUGAGUGCAGAAUUUCAUUUAUAGAGAUUUGAAUUCAUUUAUGAAAUUCACCUCCAAAUUCACAUGAAAAUCAUGGUAGUUGCAAAUGAAUAAAAUGGUUAGAGUUAGUUAUUGACUUAAAUUCAGUUAGUUAAUUAGGUGUGAACUUCAAAUUAAUGCAUUUGGUUUUGAUUUGAUUUUGUAUUAGUGCUUGAAUACUUACAGUGGGACUUUGAAAUCUGACUUGCUAUAAGGUUAUAAGGUUAAGACUUUGUUAAUUGUUCAUUAGAGUGAGUUAUUUGCAGGUUGGAGGUUAUCGUGAGUUUGAACUCGUUAGUUUGUAAAUGGUAUGCUAAUUGGUUCAAAGUGGAUCAAUUGAAAGUAGUUUUGUUAAUUGGCUUUUGAUUUGUGUAGGGUAUGCUAAUUGGAGUUGAAUUUUGUAGGGAUAUCAAUGGGGAAUUUGGCUAAGUCAACGAAUACUUCAAAAUUGUAUUUGGAAGGCUCUUGUUGAAAUUUAAUUGCUUUCUUAAAAUUGAAGUUAACUGAUGCAAGUGUUUUGCAGGGUGUAAUGAAAAAAUUGCUUGUGAAGUCAUGCUUGCAUUGACACACAUCUAUUUGUAAAAUAUCCUUUAAAUUGCUUUGAAUGAAAUUGGAAUUAGUUGUGUACUAGUUUGUGUUAAAUGGACUUUGAUUUAUAGCUCUAGUAAUUAAUUUGUAAUCAAAGAUUGGUUGGAAAUGAA